Molecule: transfer RNA, 67 nt
Filed under: Marmota monax (woodchuck)
Lineage: Eukaryota; Metazoa; Chordata; Mammalia; Rodentia; Sciuridae
Description: tRNA.Ala
Source: RNAcentral
GGUUGUGGCUCAGCGGUAGAGCGCUUGCCUAGCAUGUGCAAGGCCCUGGGUUCAAUCCUCAGUACCA